CCUACGGGAGGCAGCAGUGGGGAAUAUUGGGCAAUGGAGGCAACUCUGACCCAGCAACGCCGCGUGAAUGAUGAAGGUCUUCGGAUUGUAAAGCUCUUUUCUAAGGGAAGAAGAAAGUGACGGUACCUUAGGAAUAAGCCUCGGCUAACUACGUGCCAGCAGCCGCGGUAAUACGGAGGCGGCAAGCGUUAUCCGGAAUGACUGGGCGUAAAGGGUGCGUAGGUGGUUUGACAAGUUAGUAGCGAAACUCCGGGGCUCAACUUCGGAACUACUACUAAAACUGUUGGACUUGAGUGCAGGAGGGGCAAGCGGAAUUCCUAGUGUAGCGGUGAAAUGCGUAGAUAUUAGGAGGAACACCAGUGGCGAAGGCGGAUUACUAGACUGUAACUGACACUGAGGCACGAAAGCGUGGGGAGCAAACAGGAUUAGAUACCCGGGUAGUC
Molecule: ribosomal RNA, 443 nt
Filed under: uncultured bacterium
Lineage: Bacteria
Description: partial 16S ribosomal RNA
Rfam family: Bacterial small subunit ribosomal RNA
Source: RNAcentral